GAUGUCAUUUUUGUUUUACAGCUGCUGCUGAGGGCAAAGGGAAAAGUGGGGAAGACUUUUUUCAGAAGAUUAUGGAAGAAACAAAUACACAGAUUGCUUGGCCAUCAAAGUUGAAGAUUGGAGCAAAAUCAAAAAAAGGUUUUCCUCUUCUCCACCUUGGCCUUCACCUUCUCCCUUGAAAUCUGAUUACUUUUCUGUUCAAUUUGCCAUGCCUUCUGUUACCUCUCCCUUGUCUUGCCUCCUUUCUUGUACUUUCAGAGAAGUCUUUUCUUCUGUCACUGGAUCAGAAAUCCAGUCAUCAAUAGUUUUACUCCAAAAAUGAUAAAUUGUACAGGUAAUCUAUUUUUAAGCUUAUCUGAUAUUUCUGGCUGAUUGUUAUUUAAUUUUAGGCCUUCAGAAAUUUUAAUAUCUGGUGUUCUGCAGUGACACUUUGAAGGCUGUGAGAAGAUGUGAAUGCAGGAUUCAGCUGUGAUUUGAUGUAUAUGUGCACCUAGUUUUAUUCAUUUAUGAGGUUACGUCAAACAGCUUUUACUUGAGGUAGCCCAUUUACAUUUUUAAGGUCAUCUUUUAAACUACCCUAUAUAACACACGAAGUCAGAGGAACAAGAUGUCAUUUCUCAAUUCUACAAAAUGUUAUACAAUGUUUCUUCAGUUCUUUGCUUUUGUGGAGGAAGACGGUGUCAAUGUUGCUUUACCCAGUCUCUGCUUCAGAAAUCUGGAGUUAUGUGGACCCAUCCAUGUACAUGUGUUUCUGUGUAUGUAUGUGUAUUUCUUUUAAAUGCUGGGGAGAAGUAAGGAGGAGAUGGUAGGCUUUACCACCAUACGCCGUUACAGUGUGCAGGACUGAAAGGUGAUGCUCUGAUAUCUAAUGCUCCUCAGGUGACUAAAUAGCAGUAACCAAAAUGCAAAAUGAGUCAAGGGUUGCAUGUGAACUGCUUUCCCUGCAGCUGUGGCAGCAGCUUUCCAACUUCCUUUUCAUUCUGAGUAGAACAGAAGUCUUUAAGAAGGUUUAGAGUUAAACGCUAGUAAGAGGGAAGAUGAGAGUCAAAAUAUACAUAUCAUAUAAAAAUAUAUGAGAAGCAAGGGCCUCUCAAGUAUGCACAUACAUAUAGGCACUGGUUCUAGCUUUUCACAAGAGCAUUUCGUUAUCAUCUGUUCAUCCACAAUAGAUCCUCCA
Molecule: non-coding RNA, 1177 nt
Organism: Meleagris gallopavo (turkey)
Lineage: Eukaryota; Metazoa; Chordata; Aves; Galliformes; Phasianidae
Source: RefSeq, a predicted model, not a curated record